This 222-nucleotide long non-coding RNA is filed under the name Jatropha curcas. RNAcentral describes it as "long non-coding RNA (JCUR_LNC003471)". Lineage: Eukaryota; Viridiplantae; Streptophyta; Magnoliopsida; Malpighiales; Euphorbiaceae. The record is from RNAcentral.
GCCACCAUAGCUUGCCAUCUUCUGCUAAAAACAUGGGAGCAAGGCUCAAUUUUUCUUCGUCCGAGGUGGUGCUUGUAGCCUUAAAGUAAGUGUCUAGAUCAAAGAGGAAGUUAUCCACUGCCCUAGAAUCUCGCACUCCUUUGAAGGGUGGUGGUUCUGGAAUUUUCAAUUUCCCAUUUCUCGGAGGGUGGACUUCUACAUUUCUAGUGGCAAUUGAGAGCA